This 102-nucleotide small nuclear RNA is filed under the name Nicotiana attenuata. The record is from RNAcentral. Lineage: Eukaryota; Viridiplantae; Streptophyta; Magnoliopsida; Solanales; Solanaceae.
GUCCCUUUGGGGACAUCCGAUAAAAUUGGAACGAUACAGAGAAGAUUAGCAUGGCCCCUGCGCAAGAAUGCUAUUCUCACUAUACUUACUAACUGAAUGCUG